RNAcentral lists this ribosomal RNA (707 nucleotides) under uncultured bacterium. Its description in RNAcentral is "bacterial SSU rRNA". It matches the Rfam family "Bacterial small subunit ribosomal RNA", at positions 62 to 746 of the family's 1533-position model. The record is from RNAcentral.
UCGAACGCGAAAGUCCCGCAAGGGAUUAGUAGAGUGGCAAACGGGUGAGUAACGCGUGGGUGACCUGCCUUCGAGCGGGGGAUAACGUCCCGAAAGGGACGCUAAUACCGCAUGACAUCCUGCCUUUGAAGAGGUGGAGAUCAAAGCCGGGGAUUCGCAAGAACCUGGCACUUGAAGAGGGGCCCGCGUCUGAUUAGCUAGUUGGUGGGGUAAUGGCUCACCGAGGCAUCGAUCAGUAUCCGGCCUGAGAGGGCGGACGGACACACUGGGACUGAGACACGGCCCAGACUCCUACGGGAGGCAGCAGUGGGGAAUUGUUCGCAAUGGGCGCAGGCCUGACGACGCAACGCCGCGUGGAGGAUGAAGACCUUCGGGUCGUAAACUCCUUUCGAUCGAGACGAAUGGCUUCCGGGUGAACAAUCCGGGAGAUUGACGGUACCGAGAGAAGAAGCCCCGGCUAACUCCGUGCCAGCAGCCGCGGUAAUACGGGGGGGGCAAGCGUUGUUCGGAAUUACUGGGCGUAAAGGGCUCGUAGGUGGCCAACUAAGUCAGACGUGAAAUCCCUCGGCUUAACCGAGGAACUGCAUCUGAUACUGGAUGGCUUGAGAUUGGGAGAGGGAUGCGGAAUUCCAGGUGUAGCGGUGAAAUGCGUAGAUAUCUGGAGGAACACCGGUGGCGAAGGCGGCAUCCUGGACCAACACUGACAC